Non-coding RNA from Biomphalaria pfeifferi, 426 nucleotides. The record is from the annotation of a GenBank genome assembly. NCBI's taxonomy places the organism in Eukaryota, Metazoa, Mollusca, Gastropoda, Planorbidae.
UAGCCUUGACAUUAGAGUUAAAGAUGGCCACAUGACACCCUCUUAAACCCUAGGCCACAGAAUCAGAUGACCUUUACAUCAUCUACCCUAUAGACCACAAGGUCUGAAAGUGGAACUUUACUGUUUUUUACUUAAUGAAUUCUAUGUUCUAGCUUUUAGCUUAUCAAUGAGGAUAGUAAAAUUAGUAAGAAACAGUUCCACUGUAGAAAAUUGAAGUAAAAAUGUAUUUAAAUACAUGUGCACUAUUAUUUGUUUGACUACUUUGAAAUUAUGCUUCGCUUGUUGCCUACUAAUACAUACGGAUAAUGGACUAGGGAAAAUACUGUGAUGAUGGUGCAUUGGAGAAUCUAGGUUUACGUUCUGGCUGUCCACUUGAUAGAUGUAGAGCAAUAACACUACUCCUACUCAAACGAUUUGUUCAACUUU